This 280-nucleotide ribosomal RNA is filed under the name uncultured bacterium. RNAcentral describes it as "partial 16S ribosomal RNA". It matches the Rfam family "Bacterial small subunit ribosomal RNA", at positions 506 to 784 of the family's 1533-position model. The record is from RNAcentral.
UGCCAGCCGCCGCGGUAACACGUAGGGACCCCGCGUUGUCCGGCUUUAUUGGGCGUAAAGAGCUCGUAGGCUGUUUCGUCAGUCGGAUGUGAAAACUCAGGGCUCAACCCUGAGACGCCAUCUGAUACUGCGAUGACUAGAGUCCGGUAGGGGAGCAUGGAAUUCCUGGUGUAGCGGUGGAAUGCGCAGAUAUCAGGAGGAACACCAAUGGCGAAGGCAGUGCUCUGGGCCGGAACUGAAGCUGAGGAGCGCAAGCAUGGGGCGCAAACGGGAUUAGAUC